AAUGGGGUGCCUGAUAAAAGGGCUAUCUUGAUAGGGUAGAUUAUGUAAGUUAAUUACUCCCAUUA
RNAcentral lists this transfer RNA (65 nucleotides) under Claassenia magna. Its description in RNAcentral is "tRNA-Ile". Lineage: Eukaryota; Metazoa; Arthropoda; Insecta; Plecoptera; Perlidae. The record is from RNAcentral.